GACGAACGCUGGCGGCGUGCUUAACACAUGCAAGUCGAACGGAAAGGCCCUGCUUUUGUGGGGUGCUCGAGUGGCGAACGGGUGAGUAACACGUGAGUAACCUGCCCUUGACUUUGGGAUAACUUCAGGAAACUGGGGCUAAUACCGGAUAGGAGCUCCUGCUGCAUGGUGGUGGUUGGAAAGUUUCGGCGGUUGGGGAUGGACUCGCGGCUUAUCAGCUUGUUGGUGGGGUAGUGGCUUACCAAGGCUUUGACGGGUAGCCGGCCUGAGAGGGUGACCGGCCACAUUGGGACUGAGAUACGGCCCAGACUCGUACGUGCGGCAGCAGUGGGGAAUAUUGCACAAUGGGCGGAAGCCUGAUGCGGCAGCGCCGCGUGCGGGAUGACGUCCUUCUAGUUGUAAACCGCUUUCGCAUGUGACGUAGCGUGAGUGACGGUAAUGGGUAAAGAAGCACCGGCUAACUACGUG
This 468-nucleotide ribosomal RNA is filed under the name uncultured bacterium. RNAcentral's name for it is "partial 16S ribosomal RNA". It matches the Rfam family "Bacterial small subunit ribosomal RNA", at positions 28 to 507 of the family's 1533-position model. The record is from RNAcentral.